This 727-nucleotide long non-coding RNA is filed under the name Bos taurus (domestic cattle). Its description in RNAcentral is "long non-coding RNA NONBTAT024134". The record is from RNAcentral. Lineage: Eukaryota; Metazoa; Chordata; Mammalia; Artiodactyla; Bovidae.
UUAGAAAAGCAAUUUUUUGCUACAUGACAAAGAAAUUAAUUUCUAAGUAAGUUAGGGGUCUAAACCCUUAGACACAAACAGGUUGUGUGGUGUCUUACUAGUAAUUUAACCCAACAGUAAAUGAAAAAUCACCUUUAUCUGAUUUGCGAACAGAAAAGCAAGACAAAUGAAACCUUAAAAAUCAAAUUCAUGGCUCAGCUGUUAAAAAAGGGGAAUUUAGGAACUGACUUCUGAGUAUUUAUUUACACAGAAAAAAAAAUUUGUAAUGCUGAUUCUGAUAAUGCUCCAUGCAGCUUUCUUUAAAAGCUUCAAGCUAUAUAAUUUCUCAUAUUCUUUCCCUGCCCUUAAAUCAGAUGCUUGUAACUGGCUACUCUUUAGCCUGUGAAGGAGAUAAUCUCCAUAUCAACUGCUAAAAUUAUAAAAGGAUUUAUUGAUUUCUAUCAUGAGUUCUUGUCCUGUUACUUCUGAGAAUGUCUUCAAAGCUGCCAUGACUACAAACUUGAAGAGCACCUGGAAACACUGUUUCUGUUGAUAGAAGAUACUAUGUCCCCUUUGCUGAAGCUUACCACAAAAUUCACUUAGGCUGAGACUGGGUUGAGUACUGAUCCAAAUAAGUUAGCAGAUAAUAAAUAGUAAGAGGAUCAGGAUAGCUCCAUAUCCUUUGUGAUUCAUUGCUUCCAUCAUUUUCUUAAGUUGUUUCUACUCAUAUAUUUUUUUACAUCCCACA